RNAcentral lists this transfer RNA (88 nucleotides) under Desulfobacterales bacterium. RNAcentral describes it as "tRNA-Leu". It matches the Rfam family "tRNA". Rfam says of the family: Transfer RNA (tRNA) molecules are approximately 80 nucleotides in length. Their secondary structure includes four short double-helical elements and three loops (D, anti-codon, and T loops). The record is from RNAcentral. Lineage: Bacteria; Pseudomonadati; Thermodesulfobacteriota; Desulfobacteria; Desulfobacterales.
GCCCGGGUGGCGGAAUAGGUAGACGCAAGGGACUUAAAAUCCCUCGAUACUAAGUAUCGUGCCAGUUCGAUUCUGGCCCCGGGCACCA